Molecule: ribosomal RNA, 80 nt
Filed under: Ignurbia constanzae
Lineage: Eukaryota; Viridiplantae; Streptophyta; Magnoliopsida; Asterales; Asteraceae
Description: partial 5.8S ribosomal RNA
Rfam family: 5.8S ribosomal RNA
About the family: 5.8S ribosomal RNA (5.8S rRNA) is a component of the large subunit of the eukaryotic ribosome.
Source: RNAcentral
AAAUGACUCUCGGCAACGGAUAUCUCGGCUCACGCAUCGAUGAAGAACGUAGCAAAAUGCGAUACUUGGUGUGAAUUGCA